AUUGAACGCUGGCGGCAUGCCUUACACAUGCAAGUCGAACGGCAGCACGGGAGCAAUCCUGGUGGCGAGUGGCGAACGGGUGAGUAAAGCAUCGGAACGUGCCCAGUCGUGGGGGAUAACGUAGCGAAAGUUACGCUAAUACCGCAUACGAUCUAUGAAUGAAAGCGGGGGAUCGCAAGACCUCGCGCGAUUGGAGCGGCCGAUAUCAGAUUAGGUAGUUGGUGGGGUAAAGGCUCACCAAGCCGACGAUCUGUAGCUGGUCUGAGAGGACGACCAGCCACACUGGGACUGAGACACGGCCCAGACUCCUACGGGAGGCAGCAGUGGGGAAUUUUGGACAAUGGGCGAAAGCCUGAUCCAGCCAUGCCGCGUGCAGGAUGAAGGCCUUCGGGUUGUAAACUGCUUUUGUACGGAACGAAAAGGUUUGGCCUAAUAAGCUGAGCUCAUGACGGUACCGUAAGAAUAAGCACCGGCUAACUACGUGCCAGCCGCCGCAGUAA
RNAcentral lists this ribosomal RNA (500 nucleotides) under uncultured bacterium. RNAcentral's name for it is "partial 16S ribosomal RNA". It matches the Rfam family "Bacterial small subunit ribosomal RNA", at positions 30 to 523 of the family's 1533-position model. The record is from RNAcentral.